RNAcentral lists this ribosomal RNA (311 nucleotides) under uncultured fungus. RNAcentral describes it as "SSU rRNA". It matches the Rfam family "Eukaryotic small subunit ribosomal RNA", at positions 1514 to 1821 of the family's 1831-position model. The record is from RNAcentral. Lineage: Eukaryota; Fungi.
AACGAGUCGAUUUCGUACUUGGCCGAGAGGCCUGGUUAAUCUUCUGAAAUCCUAGCGUGCUUGGGCUUGCCUCUUGCAACUAGAGGCACCAACGAGGAAUUCCUAGUAGACGCAGGUCAUCAACCUGCAUCGAUUACGUCCCUGCCCUUUGUACACACCGCCCGUCGCUUCUACCGAUUGGUCGUCCCGGUGAACAAUCGGGAGGCCGUGCUCAUGGUCAGCAAUGGCCGGAGCGCGGUUGAACUUUUGUAAAUUUGGACGACUAGAGGAAGAAGAAGUCGUAACAAGGUUUCCGUAGGUGAACCUGCGGA